GAUGAACGCUGGCGGCGUGCCUAAUACAUGCAAGUCGAGCGAACGGACGAGAAGCUUGCUUCUCUGAUGUUAGCGGCGGACGGGUGAGUAACACGUGGAUAACCUACCUAUAAGACUGGGAUAACUUCGGGAAACCGGAGCUAAUACCGUAUAAUAUUUUGAACCGCAUGGUUCAAAAGUGAAAGACGGUCUUGCUGUCACUUAUAGAUGGAUCCGCGCUGCAUUAGCUAGUUGGUAAGGUAACGGCUUACCAAGGCAACGAUGCAUAGCCGACCCGAGAGGGUGAUAGGCCACACUGGAACUGAGACACGGUCCAGACUCCUACGGGAGGCAGCAGUAGGGAAUCUUACGCAAUGGGCGAAAGCCUGACGGAGCAACGCCGCGUGAGUGAUGAAGGUCUUCGGAUCGUAAAACUCUGUUAUUAGGGAAGAACAUAUGUGUAAGUAACUGUGCACAUCUUGACGGUACCUAAUCAGAAAGCCACGGCUAACUACGUG
This 497-nucleotide ribosomal RNA is filed under the name uncultured bacterium. RNAcentral's name for it is "partial 16S ribosomal RNA". It matches the Rfam family "Bacterial small subunit ribosomal RNA", at positions 28 to 507 of the family's 1533-position model. The record is from RNAcentral.